AGUUUGAUCCUGGCUCAGAGUGAACGCUGGCGGCAGGCCUAACACAUGCAAGUCGAACGGCAGCACAGUAAGAGCUUGCUCUUAUGGGUGGCGAGUGGCGGACGGGUGAGGAAUACAUCGGAAUCUACUCUUUCGUGGGGGAUAACGUAGGGAAACUUACGCUAAUACCGCAUACGACCUACGGGUGAAAGCGGAGGACCUUCGGGCUUCGCGCGAUUGAAUGAGCCGAUGUCGGAUUAGCUAGUUGGCGGGGUAAAGGCCCACCAAGGCGACGAUCCGUAGCUGGUCUGAGAGGAUGAUCAGCCACACUGGAACUGAGACACGGUCCAGACUCCUACGGGAGGCAGCAGUGGGGAAUAUUGGACAAUGGGCGCAAGCCUGAUCCAGCCAUGCCGCGUGGGUGAAGAAGGCCUUCGGGUUGUAAAGCCCUUUUGUUGGGAAAGAAAAGCAGUCGGUUAAUACCCGAUUGUUCUGACGGUACCCAAAGAAUAAGCACCGGCUAACUUCGUGCCAGCAGCCGCGGUAA
Molecule: ribosomal RNA, 526 nt
Filed under: uncultured bacterium
Lineage: Bacteria
Description: bacterial SSU rRNA
Rfam family: Bacterial small subunit ribosomal RNA
Source: RNAcentral